CAGUCGCCGCGGGAAUACGUAGGGUCCGAGCGUUGUCCGGAAUUACUGGGCGUAAAGAGCUCGUAGGUGGUUUGUCGCGUUGUUCGUGAAAACUCACAGCUUAACUGUGGGCGUGCGGGCGAUACGGGCAGACUAGAGUACUGCAGGGGAGACUGGAAUUCCUGGUGUAGCGGUGGAAUGCGCAGAUAUCAGGAGGAACACCGGUGGCGAAGGCGGGUCUCUGGGCAGUAACUGACGCUGAGGAGCGAAAGCGUGGGGAGCGAACAGGAUUAGAUACCCCCGUAGUCCAUGUCUCUUAUAA
Molecule: ribosomal RNA, 301 nt
Filed under: uncultured bacterium
Lineage: Bacteria
Description: partial 16S ribosomal RNA
Rfam family: Bacterial small subunit ribosomal RNA
Source: RNAcentral